Molecule: transfer RNA, 82 nt
Filed under: Pabstiella yauaperyensis
Lineage: Eukaryota; Viridiplantae; Streptophyta; Magnoliopsida; Asparagales; Orchidaceae
Description: partial tRNA-Ser
Source: RNAcentral
SAKAGAUGGCUGAGUGGWUGAUAGYGCCGAUAUGGUCAAAUGGUAAAAUUUCUCUUUGCCAACGAGAAGAUGCGGGUUCGAU